Molecule: ribosomal RNA, 256 nt
Filed under: uncultured bacterium
Lineage: Bacteria
Description: partial 16S ribosomal RNA
Rfam family: Bacterial small subunit ribosomal RNA
Source: RNAcentral
CAAUAUAAGUGAUGGCGACCGGCGCACGGGUGAGUAACACGUAUCCAACCUGCCGAUAACUCGGGGAUAGCCUUUCGAAAGAAAGAUUAAUACCCGAUGGUAUAAUAAAACCGCAUGGUUUAAUUAUUAAGGAAUUUCGGUUAUCGAUGGGGAUGCGUUCCAUUAGGCAGUUGGUGAGGUAACGGCUCACCAAACCUUCGAUGGAUAGGGGUUCUGAGAGGAAGGUCCCCCACAUUGGAACUGAGACACGGUCCAA